Molecule: ribosomal RNA, 464 nt
Filed under: uncultured bacterium
Lineage: Bacteria
Description: partial 16S ribosomal RNA
Rfam family: Bacterial small subunit ribosomal RNA
Source: RNAcentral
ACGAACGCUGGCGGCGUGCUUCACCCCUGCCCGUCGAACGGAAAGGCCCUGCUUGCAGGGUACUCGAGUGGCGAACGGGUGAGUAACACGUGGGUGAUCUGCCCUGCACUUCGGGAUAAGCCUGGGAAACUGGGUCUAAUACCGGAUAGGAGCCAUUUUUAGUGUGAUGGUUGGAAAGUUUUUUCGGUGUAGGAUGAGCUCGCGGCCUAUCAGCUUGUUGGUGGGGUAAUGGCCUACCAAGGCGGCGACGGGUAGCCGGCCUGGGAGGGUGGACGGCCACAUUGGGACUGAGAUACGGCCCAGACUCCUACGGGAGGCAGCAGUGGGGAAUAUUGCACAAUGGGCGCAAGCCUGAUGCAGCGACGCCGCGUGGGGGAUGACGGCCUUCGGGUUGUAAACUCCUUUCGCUAGGGACGAAGCUUUUUGUGACGGUACCUAGAUAAGAAGCACCGGCUAACUACGUG